Long non-coding RNA from Esox lucius (northern pike), 1263 nucleotides. NCBI's taxonomy places the organism in Eukaryota, Metazoa, Chordata, Actinopteri, Esociformes, Esocidae. The record is from Ensembl.
CAGGUUUGCACACACUGCAGCAGGGAUUUUGUCCCACUCCUCCAUACAGACCUUUUCCAGAUCCUUCAGGUUUCGGGGCUGUCGCUGGGCAAUACAGACUUUCAGCUCGCUCCAAAGAUUUUUUUAUUGGGUUCAGGUCUGGAGACUGGCUAGGCAACUCCAGGACCUUGAGAUUGCUUUUUACGGAACCACUCCUUAGUUGCCCUGGCUGUGUGUUUCAGGUCGUUGUCAUGCUGGAAGACCCAGCCACGACCCAUCUUCAAUGCUCUUACUGAGGGAAGGAGGUUGUUGGCCAAGAUCUUGCGAUACAUGGCCCCAUCCAUCUUCCCCUCAAUAUGGUGCAGUCGUCCUGUCCCCUUUGCAGAAAAGCAUCCCCAAAGAAUGAUGUUUCCACCUCCAUGCUUCAUGGUUGGGAUGGUGUUCUUGGGGUUGUACUCAUCCUUCUUCUUCCUCCAAACACGGCGAUUGGAGUUUAGACCAAAAAGCUCUAUUUUUGUCUCAUCAGACCACUUGACCUUCUCCCAUUCCUCCUCUGAAUCAUCCAGAUGGUCAUUGGAAAACUUCAGACGGGCCUGGACAUGCGCUGGCUUGAGCAGGGGGACCUUGCAUGCGCUGCAGGAUUUUAAUCCAUGAAGGCGUAGUGUGUUACUAAUGGUUUUCUUUGAGACUGUGGUCCCAGCUCUCUUCAGGUGAUUGACCAGGUCCUGCUGUGUAGUUCUGGGCUGAUCCUUCACCUUCCUCAUGAUCAUUGAUGCCCCACGAGCAUCUCGAAACCUGGACCUGCCGUUCUACAACCGGGAGCACUACCCACUACUCCAAACAGAGUUGGAUAAUUGAUAUAGAAGAGUAAUGGUUUUACCAAGGUCACUAUACUAGGCACACCCACUGAAACUGUGUACGUUCGUUAAAUGUAUUGCCACAGUAAGGGAAAUACACGUUCCUGUCUUGUUAUAUCAUUCUCUCUUUGCUUCUUUGAAACUGUAUCUAAAAAGCUAGCUACUAAACUGUCAUUUCCAAUUUACCUUGAAUAACAGGUUGUGCGUCCAAUCAGCGACGACAGUCUUGUAUCUUUUGUGUCAUUGUUUUACUGGUUGUGUUUUGCGCUAUUGGGGGGAGUAUAUUUAUGGGGUGUGUGUAUUUGUAUUUGUGGGUAUGUUUUAUUAUGGGUGUAAUUGUAUUAAUGGUUGUGUUUUGUGCUAUUGGGAAUUUUACUUUUAUUGGAGGGGUGUAAUUGUAUCAGUGGUUGUAUUUUCUGCUUUGGGG